Molecule: transfer RNA, 75 nt
Filed under: Schistocerca americana (American grasshopper)
Lineage: Eukaryota; Metazoa; Arthropoda; Insecta; Orthoptera; Acrididae
Also listed under: 3 other names
Description: tRNA-Thr
Rfam family: tRNA
About the family: Transfer RNA (tRNA) molecules are approximately 80 nucleotides in length. Their secondary structure includes four short double-helical elements and three loops (D, anti-codon, and T loops). Further hydrogen bonds mediate the characteristic L-shaped molecular structure. tRNAs have two regions of fundamental functional importance: the anti-codon, which is responsible for specific mRNA codon recognition, and the 3' end, to which the tRNAs corresponding amino acid is attached (by aminoacyl-tRNA synthetases). tRNAs cope with the degeneracy of the genetic code in two manners: having more than one tRNA (with a specific anti-codon) for a particular amino acid; and 'wobble' base-pairing, i.e. permitting non-standard base-pairing at the 3rd anti-codon position.
Source: RNAcentral
GCCCUCGGUGGCUCAGAUGGAUAGAGCGUCUGCCAUGUAAGCAGGAGAUCGCGGGUUCGAGUCCCGGUCGGGGCA